RNAcentral lists this unclassified non-coding RNA (383 nucleotides) under Hevea brasiliensis (rubber tree). Lineage: Eukaryota; Viridiplantae; Streptophyta; Magnoliopsida; Malpighiales; Euphorbiaceae. The record is from RNAcentral.
CCAAGCUUGGGGCCCUUUGGUGCAGCACCUUUGGGCAAGCUACCUUUGCUCUGGGUCUUUUGUGUCUUUGCCAUUACCUCAGCCUUCUUGGCCUUCUUUUCAUCCUUCAUUUUCUUAAUUCUCUCCUUAAUUUCACGGAGUGCAGCCUCUCUUGCAGCAUCACGUACUUCAGGCUUCUCAGUUCGCCUCUUCUGUAUGACUUCCAAAGUAGCACCAACUAUAGACCUAGAGUAAGGCUUUUUUGUAGCGCGACGUCUCUUCUUAACGGUUUCAGCAGCAAUAUCCUUCUUAUGUUGCUUCCUGUACAUGGCUGUCCAAGUUAGCUUUGAGGGCUUCAAUCGGUUGUGGAAGUACCUCUUGCAUUUUGAAUUGGCAAAGAGGAA